CGUGAAAUAAAUCACAAACAAAUACCCCCUUUAUUUGAUUGUGUGAAUUUCUCCUUUUGAUUGCGCUGAAAGAAGCUGUACCCCUUGUGGUACAGCUUUUUUCGUUG
This is a non-coding RNA of Listeria aquatica FSL S10-1188, 107 nucleotides long. NCBI's taxonomy places the organism in Bacteria, Bacillati, Bacillota, Bacilli, Caryophanales, Listeriaceae. The record is from Rfam.